CCACUCUGGAAAACAAGGGGAGAAAGGGAGAUACUUACAGGACUGCACAUUGCUGUGGAAGAGAACGUCAGCAACAUCCUGCCAGCGGAGAGCAUGGGGACAAAACAUACGGGUGAAUAACAGGUGAAUGACUCCCUGUGGGUCUAGGACUAGGUGUACUCCUGAUCUUGUGUCAGAGCAGAAAUGGCACAUGACAGUGAGAAAUGAGCUACCAAAAUGUGGUCCCUUCUGGCAGCAUCCCUGGCAGGCUGAGAGGCGAGCAGCACAGAAGCAGGAGCCCUGGCUCCCCGGCCAGAAACCCUUCACCCCACAGCAGACCUGCGCCAAUGCCACAGGACGCGCUCCAUUAGCGUUUGGCCCUCAUCAAAGACUCAUUCUUCUCGGCCAUGUUCAUGCCCUGCUUGUGUGUUUGUUUCCCAGCCACAUUCUGGUUUUAAUGGGACAAGAGAUGGUGAAAAGCAGGCUAUAAAUAGCCCAGCGAACGAGCCAGGCCUGCCCCUUCGCAGCGAGGCCUACGCGCGCAAUUAUUCUUUUGAAUGUGCCGAAUGAACAUCCCAUUCAGGCACCACAGCCAGCCAGGAAACCUAACAACCACUUUUUCCCUCCCCCAUUGAAGCCUCAGAUGAUGUGUGCCAGGCCCCAAAAGAGAGCAGCUGAAAAACACCCUACAAGUGAAAGCACGCAGGAGCUGGCCCACAAAAACCAGGAUGGGGCUUAAAGGGGAAGGGCAGGGAGAAAAGGUUUCUCAAACUUUGCUGCUGGAAAAUGUGGUGGGAGCAAGGCUCAGCCUGUGCCAGGCAGUACCCACAGCCACACAGGAGUUCCACAGACUAAGGGAAUGAUCAGUGAACACAUCUGGACCAAGAAAUUACAAGACUCUGAACAUACAGGAGGCCUGGAGUUGGUUUUAAGUCAGAGAAAUGCAGCAACCUAUCUCAAAGCAAGACUGCAGGUGGGGAAAAGACUUGGUGGUUAUUCAACCACCUAAGAAACAGGGCAAAAAGCAAAUAAAGACAUUUGUUUGGGGCUGCAGUGGGAAAGAGUUUAUCCCCACUUCAGAGAAAAAAAAAGCAGCAGACCACUAUAUCCAAGCAGAAGUCCAGCAUUCACUGAAGUCUCCUGGUAUACUAUUAUUUGAGAUGAAGAAGUAUUGACACAAGGAUUGCAAUGUGCAUGAAGAAUCUGGAAAAACAGUGCAUCCCUCACCUGUGUUGCUAAGCUGAAAAGUCAAGGAAAAAUGUUUCGCUUGGACCAUUCAAAAUAGAAUUUUUCCUAGUUCUUAAUACAAUGCAAAAAUAAGAAGUGUCAUUUUUGAUCCAUCCACAGCGUUCUGUUUGAACAGAAGUAUGAAUCUUUACUUUGCUGGAGUUUUCCUUAACUCUUAUACAAACAAUUCCCCUUUUGAAAAAUGCCAUUUUAAAUCUAGAAUUUAAAAUUUCCUUUGAAAAAUGUCAGUCAAAGAUCUGGCAUCUACAAAUCAACACUUCAGAAGUGCGAAGUGAAUUUUUUUCUUUUUUUUUAUCCUUUAUUUCUUUUUUGGCUGACACACAUAAAUUUCAUUUAAAUUUGCAUUUAAUUUUGGUUCUUGUGGAAUAAUGUGUUGGGGUUGAACUUACUAUAUGCUGAGAAAAAUUCAGCUAACAAGUAAGGAAAGGGCAGAAGUAUUCAUGAAUGGGAAAGCAAGAGCUGAGAGAUUACUGACCCAGUCCCUCAAGUUCUGCUUCUAGCAUCUGUUUUGCUUAAAAUUUUCAUAAAUUACCUUGACACAGAAAAUAAGAAUGUGCUAAAAUAUCAUGACAGUAAGCAGUAGGGAUGUAUUGUCACUAAAGACUGGGACAAGUUAUACAAAGGGCCAGCUGUCCUUGGGACUAAAAUAGGAAAUAUGAAAUGCAGUAUUAUCCUGAAUUUCAAAGUAUGCAGCAAUACUUUCAGUGUCACAGGUUCAAAGAUAAGAACAAUUACUGUUCUGAACAGGACUUCACUGGUUGAGAAGAACUGAACAAGAGAAAUGAUCAAGUAUACACAGCAUUACUGUCACCACUCACACAAUACAGCCACCAAAAAUGGCACAUGCAAUCCUAGGCCAAACAAGAGAAGAAUUUCCAGCAGUAUUAAGAAAAUAUCAAUGCCAUCACACAAGGCCUCCUCUGCACUUGACUUCAUCUGAAUGUUAUACAGCUGAUGUUAUACAGCUGAUGUUAUACAGCUCUGGUCAUCUGUGCAGCAGAAAAGACAAAUUUAGGCUGAAGCCAGUGGAGAGCAUGGAUUUUUUUGAGGGAUGAAGGGACUCUGGAGCCUGCCUGGCAGCAGGGGAGCUGAAGCCUGCUGAGUUACUCUGUUAAACAGAAGGCUGAUGGAAGAUGUAGCUCCUGCCUGUAAAUAUGGUAGGAGGAUAAAUGCAGCAGGAAAAGCAGGUAAAACACACAUACAAGUGAAACAUACACCACAUAAAGAUGCUGCAGAAGGAUAAACAGACAAGAUGACAGAGGAAUGGAUGAUUAAGGGUGAAAUGACUGAAUACCUGGCAUAAUCUCCACAGCAAAACUGGGCAAGAGAUCAGCAAGCAGCCCUGUCCUGCCUAGAAAAGACAGAAGGAGGAGAAGAAGGAGAGAGGUUACUGCAAGAAAAACACACUCCCCAGCCCCUGCCUUAGCCUCCAGCUCCCUUCCUCAUCAGCCCACUUGCACUCUGCGUUAUGUGAAUUCCUAUCAAGCACAGAUGUCAUCCUGCUCGAUGCCUGGUGUCUGCCUCUGCACUUCUGCCAUUUCUGUGUCCUUGCAUUUUAUCUUUAUCAGCGGAGCUGGGGGGAAAGAAUCUGGAACAGAGUUUCUCCAAUCUAGGCACAAAAUGACAAGAAAAAGGAGUCCCUUUUAGCAUGGUUACAUGGUAACAUCUUCCUGGAGUUAUGCUCUACACAUGCAAAAGCUCCUGGAAAUGCACAACAGCCCUUAAACAAAAGGACACAGUUUUAUUUUUGAAACGUACUGAUGUAGUUUCUACGGAUAUGAAACAUCUUUAACUUAACUCAAGGCUAUUGAUAAAUCAGCCACGUGCUUCUAAAACCCGUGGAUGCUGCUCUCCAUGUGGGCUCUGUGAGUGCACCAACAACUCCAGGAAAAGAGCCUUGAAGGAAUGCUGUGCAUAUGUGCAAAUUAUUUGGAGAUGCACGAGCACCUUGGUCAGACUGUGUGACAAAGGCCAACACCCAAUGGAAGCAAACCAGCCAGGGAAGGAUUCAUGUAGAAAUUUGUGGGAUCAUUUUGCAAAAGAAUAAACAAACAAAACAAAUAAAAAAAAGGCAAGUCAACUUCAAAUUUAUAAUUUACAACCAAAUAGAAACAAACAAACUCCAAGCCCAAAGGCAGCUUGCUGCCUGUUUGUUUUGGCACAGAACGUCUGGGAUAUUUCCAGUACACAGCAAACAUCCUGCACAGUGCUCAGCUGUAAUUUACACACACCUGUGCAUUGGCAGAGCAGCCCUAAGUGCAGCUGGGCUGUGAACUCUCCCAUAGAGCCCCAGGGUCAUGCUGGGAUUUUAAAAGACAUGCAUAUGGCAGGAGAGCUGCACUCUGAAGAGAGACACACAUUGUGGGCAUUACAACAGGAGCAGCUAAGGGUAAGCCAAUGCAAAAGUGGCAGAAAGCUACCUUUAACCUCCCCACAUGCCCUCCAGGUCCUGCACUAGGCAGCACUCAGACACAGUGAUGAACUGGAUCCCAAGUUCCUCGGCCUCUAGUCUGUCCUUGAAGGUUAUUACAAUCAAAUUCCCACCAUCCGUUUUUCCUCAGUGCUUCAACAGAGACUCUGUAGAGAUCAAAAGUCCACAAGGAAGCCUGCUGGAGCCAUAAUGAGUAUACCAUGACUACAGGCAGAGCUUUGCAGCCAGUUGCAACUCAUCAGAGCUGACUAGUACUCACUGGAAUGCCCAUCCUGAUGAAGUGGUCCAGAAUCCUUAGCAAAAGAUAGCAUGGUGAUGCUUCACAUAACUGCUCCCCAUUUACCACUUUGAGGGAGGACUCUUGCCACCAGUCUGCUGCAACAUUUUCAUCUACAUUUACAAAGAGUUUCACGACAUUCUUUGCAGUCCAUUUCCUGGAAGGAUCAAGUGUCCAAGCCACUCACAACUACAGUGUUAUGUUCCACGUGCAUAUUAAUCAUAUUCCUUAUUUUGAUGAAACAAUAUGCAAUUCUUUUGCAGGCCUUUUGUGCAUAUGUGAACAGCACCCACAUGAACCACAUGCAUGCAGAAUAUGGGCAGACACGAGCAUGUAGCUCACCUCCCAUGUGUUAUUACCUCUGCACAAGCUCACAUGCAGCCCUAGUGUGAGAGCAGAUGCCACUGGACAAAUUGCUGGAGGUACACAGCUAAUUUAGGGCAUCUGUGGUAAAAAAGGGCAAGGAAGUGACACCUUUAAACAGCAGAAACUCUUUCUCAAAUGGUCGUUGACUUUAUUUGGAACCUACCUGGAGAGCCUCGAACCCUGCUAGUGCUGGGUACUUUCUGAUCUCCAAGAGGAAUCACAUGUCCAACAGGGAAUAAGCACCCCUUAAUAUAACAGUGCCUGAGAACUUGGUAAAAACAAAGACAGCCAAAGCAGCUCCUCUCUGCUACCAACGAGCAGCCAGCACUUCCCUGCUCAUGCAGUCUCACUUGGCUUGUAAGAGUAUCUGCCUGGGGAAUUUACAUCCCUGCCCUGCCAACAGGACUCACACAGCCCUGGGGGCCCCAGAGCCCCCAGCAGGGAUGCACAAAGCCUGAGAGGAUCCCUGUGGUGGGAUUUUGAGCAGCAAAUCCCACCACAGCUCAGCCUGAACUCUGCCUGGCAGCCAGCGAGCACAAUGCCCACCCCUGGACUGCCGUGGCCCCAGCAGCUUUCCACAGCUCAGCCCCCUCCCCGCCCCAGGCUGGAUAAAUCCCCUGAUUAACCCUUCCCCACACCAUUCCUCAGGGAAGCCAGCAGGCUGAGGCUGCCUGUGGUUGCCCCAGCAACAGGAGGCUCCCACCACUGUCCCUCAUUGAAGGUGACUUUCUCCCCUCUGCUGCUGCUGCCAGCAACAAGUGGAGCAAAAAUCCCCCCAUCCUGCCAGCCAGCACAGGGACAAAGGGACAGGGUGGCUCAGGGGUGGGGGCAGCACUGCUACGGGGUCUCACCUUCUGCCCUCUGUAAGCCCGGCCCAAACAUGGGCACAGCCCAGAGCCAGGUGGUGGCCACAGAAAGGAUCCUGGGGCAGCAGCCCGGUGGGUCACACACUGCCCAAGGCAGAGAGCAGGGCGUCCUUUUGGACCCAUGGCUGUAGGAGAAGGCAGCGGACAGUCAGAGCACCCAUCUCUCCAUGAUGCUCCUUCCAUGGGCUUUAAGCUUACCUCCUUCCCUCUCAUUUCUUUCAAGGAAGUUUUAAAGUAGAUGCUGGGGCUAGAUAGCAAUUGGUGGGGAAGAAACAAUUCAAUAAAACAUCCUGCCAAGAGACCAUCUGGCCACACCACCUCUGCACAGCAGCUCUGCCCACCUGAGAAAGGGCUGCAGGCACUCCAAGCCAUGGCUGAGCACCACUGCUGAGUCACAGAUCUGUGUCCCCACCCCCAAGAGCUUUGUGUCCUCUGUGCAAGCUCCCACCACCGAGGGGAUAGAGGGAAUAGACAAUGGCCCCGUUUCCCAGGGUUGUCCUGGGUGACUGUGUCAGAGCUAGGAGCUUGUCCUCAUUCUGCAAGGAUCUGGGAUGUGUGCCAUCUCUAUUCCCCCCGUGCUGCUGAAGGGUUUUACCUGCCCAUAGUGGCCUCUCACCAGGCACCUCACACGCCCCAGGCCCCUGCCAGCCUUGAAAUGCAACGGAGCUUGCAAGCACCCCAUCUGCACUGGCAGAGCACAGGAGGAGGGAUGGGAGAGGAAAAGCUGAGGGGAUGCAGAGCAGCUCCAAGAGGUGCAGACACACAGCAGAGGCCAGCGAGGACAGGAGUUAAUACACAGGAGGCAGGCAGGCAGGCGACAGAGCAGUGAGCAAAUAGCAGCGGAGCAGGGAAGACCUGGAGUCAAGCACACAAUUAGCAGAGAGUCUGCAGAGAAGAGACACAAAAAUAAUUAGGGUAAGUGGUGCAGCUGAAAAGAAAUUAUGGCAUGAAUAAAGUAGGCGCAGGUGCAGUCAGAAACACGGCAAUUGGGUAAAUAUGGGAACAUGGCAAAUACUGGCAGUCACAUAAAUGUGAUAAAUAUUGGGUAACUAUGGCAGUAACUGCUGAACUGUUUUCCUGUUUGAAGGCUGCUUCCACAGCCCAACCUGCUGCAGUGGGAUUACAGGACGCAGCAAAUACAGAGGGAAUUAUUUCCUUCUCAGUGGAGGAAAACUUUGCCAAGCCAUGCCACAGCAAGAGGCCCUGGCAAGGGACACUGGCCUGAGGAGAGGCUGGAAAGCACAGGAGAGGAAGUGUGGCCCUUGUAAAUCAGACACUUUACCAAGGCAGCUGCUGUGAGAUUUAUUGGGGGAGCAUGGCUCUGCAGUGUUUCUCUAUGCUUCUUCCGCUUGGAGUAAACUUUAUCCUUUCUUCCCGUCCUUCCAAUUGGACGGAGAAACAGCAGCAGCCCCUUUUGGAGAUCAAAGUUUUAGCAGGCAACAAAGACCUCCGAGGAGGCUGUUGCCAUGGCUGCCUUAGUAACCGCGCUCUUUUAAUCACACCGGUCUGCUUUGUGAGCAGCAGCGUGUGGCUGUCGCUGGCAAAUAAGGAGGAAAACAGGGGUAAAAAACCUUGGCAACAAGUAGCACUUCUAAUCGGUGUGAAAUAAAUAACCAGGAGUAGGCUGGGCUAGGAUGAGGGGCACUGGAAGCAGGUGACAAAGGUGGCAGCGCAGUGGUCUGGGGCAAUGCAUCAACACUUUUCCAGGAUUUUUAAGAGGAAGUGUGCCAAUCACUUCCUUCGCCUGCUGGCACUACCCACCUCUGGUCACAGCUCAAGGCUGGUGAGGCCUCUCCAUGGAGCUGCUGACAGACAUUUUCCCAGCUGAGAUGUGGGCCAACAUCACAUCCCCAACACAAGGCCACCAGCACAACUCUGCCAACUCCUGUGACCGAGCACUGGCUCGGGUGCUACUGGCAGCUUUUCAGCAAAUCAGAGCAAAAUCCUAAAACCAACAUCAUCUAAGGGAAAAUUCUGCCAAGAACUUUUCAAUCUCCGAAAUCAUGUCAAAUUUUAUUAUACAGUCUCUCCUGGCAUAGAAGAGACUCCAAACCUGGCUAUAUUUAUACCAGCUAUUGAGUCACUUUGCUGAGUAAGAACUGCCUUAUUAGCAUUGCACACCACACACACGUGUCCCAGUGGAGAUUUAUCCUCACUGAAAGUCAACACAUGUCUCUAUUAGUACAUUAAUUACUGUACAAUAUGCUGUGUGUAUAUGUAUCUACAUUCUUUACUUUACAUUCUUUACUACUACUACUACUACUAUGGGUGUGAGACUUUUUAAAUUUUGGGUUUAGGCCUAUAUGGAUACUGGCUGGUUAUAUAAACUGCAGAAGAUGUCAGUUUACCAGUGUUAGUUGCCACUGUCUCCAGAAAUUAACACAAACCUCAAGUGCUAAUUGUUGUUAUUUGAAGCAUAGCAAUGGGAGAAGCUUCAGCUUCUUCCUUGGGGAAUUUCAGGUCUGUCAGACUGACCUUGGUGCUCGGGAAGGUUAUGGAAUACAUGAUCCUGAGUGGAAUCACACUAUACAUAUAGGACAACCAGAGGAUCAGGAGGAUCCAGCAUGGGUUUAGGAAAGGCAAGUCCUCCGUGACCAAGCUGAUCCUUUUAUGAUGAGGUGACCCACCCAGAGGAUGAGAGAAAGACUGUGGAUGUGUCUUCCUGGACUUAAUAAAGCCUUUGGGAGUGUCUCCCACAGCAUUUUCCUGGAAAAGCUGACAGUGCCACAGGCUGGGGAAGAGUGGCUGGAAAAUUGUGCAAUGAAAAAGCACCUGGGGUGCUGGAUAACAGCAGCUGAAUGUCAGCCAGAGUGUGUCCAGAUGGGCAAGGAGGCCAGUGGCAUCCUGGUUUGGAUCAGGAAGAGUGUGGCCAGCAGGAGCAGGGCAGGGAUUGUCCUCCUGUACUCAGCACUGGUGAGGCCCCUCAAGUCUCAUGUUUAUGUUUGGGCCCCUCACUCUGAGAAAGGCAUUGAGGGGCUGGAGUGAGUCCAGAGGAGGGAAUGGAGCUGGGGAAGGAUCUGGAGCACAAGUCUGAUCAGGAGUGGCUGAGGGUGUUUAACCUGGAGAAAAGGAGGCUCAGGGGGGACCUCACCACUCUCUACAAUGGCCUGAAAGGAGGGUGUGGAAAGAUGGGUCGACCUCCACUCCCAGGGAAGAAGUGACAGAAUGAGAGGAAAUGGCAUCAAGCUGUGCCAGGACAGCUUCAGGUUGGACAUCAGGAAGAAUUUUGUCACUGAAAGGGUAGUUAAGCACUGGAAUGGGCUGCCCAGGGAAGUGGUGGAGUCAUCAUCCCUGGAAAUGUUCAAGAAACAACUGGACGUGGCAUUCAGUGCUAUGGUUUUAGUUGAGAUGGUGGUCUUCAAUCAAAGGUUGAACUCCAUGAUCUUGAAGGUCUUCUCCAAUCUUAAUGAUUCUAUGAUUAACCAUAAAAUAAUAUUUCACUGAUACACAGUUUAUGUAAAAUUGGCUGCUGAAUUGGAUGGAAAAGAAAGCUGGCAAUAUCUGUCUAGCAAAGUGCACAGAUCACUAACCAAAGCAUCAAACCAACAGCUGGAAUUAGUGGAGUACUUUCUGGCCUCUUCCAGAAACUCGACAGGUCUCAGGGAAUGGAGCCACUGUUUUGUGAAGCGUGUCUAAGCUAUGUAAAACCUCAGAAUGCAAACAUCACUGAGCUUGCACAGGUCUAUGCAUUCCAGGGUGCCCAGCUGUGCCCAGUGCUGAACUCUGUGUUCAGGCACUGCUCUGUAGCUGUUCCAGCUUGGGAAUGGAGCAGUGUAGCAGCUUCAUAGGUCCCUGCACCUGGUUAGUAAAUUCUGGCUGUUGGGAAGGCUUAUUGGGUUCUAUGCAAUGAAGCUGGACUGCUUCCUGAUGUGAGCUGGUGACACAAAGCUAGGAUGACACUGACACUGCACUCUACUUCUGGUUUGAAGGUUACUCCAGGCAUGCUACAUCCCUGCACUGGUACACAUGCAGCUCCCUUCAGAAAGGCUGCAAUGAAUUACUUUACUGAAGCCCAUUGACAUUCUCAUAUAAAAAAGAAAUACACAGGGGCUACAAAUAACAAUAUGAUUAAUAGCACUGUCUCUGUUUCAAGAAGCAGGACAUUAGCUGCCAGCUACUACAACAGAAAUGUAGACUUUCUUCAAUUUAGGAUUCAGCCUUUUAGGUUCAAUCACAUUAAAAAGUUUAAAAUUAAAAUGUACAAAAUUUCAAAGGGAUUCAUUAGCCCAGCUGUAAUGUCAGCAAAGGUUCUCCUUUUCUAAUAAGACACACGAGUGCAGGGAGUAUCACUUGAUUCCUGAUGUGGAAUUGCUAAGUUCUGGACUAGUCUGCAGCAGAAGCAGAGUUCACACAGUUUCCAGCACACUACAUCCUGUUUGGAGAUUCCAAAUGCCAUCAAAAUGCACAUAUAUCAGAGACUCAGAGAGUCUUUUAGGUUGGAAAAGACCUCUGAGAUCUUCGAGCCCAGCCUGUGAACAAACACCACCAGACCAUGGAACUGAGUGCCAAAUCCAGUCUUUCCUUAAACACCUUCCUGGGCAGCCCAUUCCAAUGUUUAACCAACCUUUCUGUGAAGAAAUUCCUUCUGAUGUCCAAUCUGAGACAGAGGUUGCUACUCCUCCUCCCUCACCUGCACUGAUUCCCUUAGAGAGGGUUAAAGUCCCUGACUAAGCAAAAGCUACUGAAUGGUCUUUUCAGCAAAGUACAUAAUAAGCACAUGCCUAACAUUAGGUAUGCUUUACAAAUCCUAUCAGCUUUGCUGAGCACAAAUGGAUAUAAAUAAAUGCUUGUAUGCUUUUCUGAAAUAGCUGUGACAUGAGGACAGCACAUGGGAUCCUCUGAUGCUACCCAGAGCUGACCAGCAGCUCUGUGUGUCAACAUGGCACAUCCAGGUAACAAAACCCAACAUGCAAUCCCAUCAUGAUCCAGGCUCCCUGGCUGCUUAAGAGGUCACUGAAGAUCUCUGUGAUCGCUUUCCUAAGGAAAAAAUAAAUACUGUAAUUUGCCCAGGUUUUA
This is a long non-coding RNA of Passer domesticus (house sparrow), 10183 nucleotides long. RefSeq lists it as uncharacterized. The record is from RefSeq and is a predicted model, not a curated record. NCBI's taxonomy places the organism in Eukaryota, Metazoa, Chordata, Aves, Passeriformes, Passeridae. The transcript is spliced from 2 exons.